This 8349-nucleotide long non-coding RNA is filed under the name Citrus x clementina. RNAcentral describes it as "Citrus clementina (C. clementina) long non-coding RNA (CCLE_LNC001736)". Lineage: Eukaryota; Viridiplantae; Streptophyta; Magnoliopsida; Sapindales; Rutaceae. The record is from RNAcentral.
GUUUUUGAGUAAAAGCAUGAUAUUAGAAUUGAGCAGACUUGAGAUAUGUUGAAUAGAAAGAAAAUGAGAUUUCAGAUGGGAUCAUAUGUUUAAUAUCAGUUUUGAAAUCAUUAGACAGUACCCUUCCCUCCAGAUACAGAGAUACAGAUAAAAAGAGAUACAGAAAAGAGAUACAGAUAAGAUGAGAUAGAGGCCUUUGGGGCCCGUCGGGACACACAUAGAGGCUUUGGGCCGUGUGUUCGGGCGCUUUUGCCUUUUGGGGGCUUAUGCAUGCACAGUACAGAUAUAUGAGAUAAGAGAUAUGAGAUAUGAGAUGAGAUCGUCCCCAUCUAUCCGUUGUGGCUCCGGGGCGUGACGUUACCCAGAUAGUGCGUUAUUGCCUGGCCGUUGUAGCCCGGAUAUGAUCAGAUUAUCCCCUGGGUACUUGUUUGAUGACAGUUUUUAGUAUUCAGUAUUUAAUAUGAGUAUGGUGAUUCCAUCGAUUUUAUGCAGAUUUAUUAUUGCAGUUAUUCAAUUUGAAUUAAAUGAGUUUAUGAUAUUUUGAGAAAUUGAUUUACGAAAUUGAAAUUGAUUUAAGAAAAGAUUUGAGAAAGAUUAAAUGAUUUUGAAUAAUUUAUUAAAGUAUCAGCACCUACUAUCCACUCACUGAGCUCACUGAGUUUUAUACUCACCCCUUUUUUAUUAUAUUUUUCCCCCCACAGGAGAUUUACAGGUACAUCAGUCAACCCAGUAGUGAACGUUAGUUUGAUAUUGUGGUCACGUGAUGGUGCUAGAAGUCGUGGAUUUUAUUAUUAUAUUCGGAAUUUGUGUUAUUAUUUUAUGUUAUUAAGGAUAAUCGUUGUAUUUUAAUAUUCGGAUGAUUUUGGUGAUAUUUGAGAAGUUGGUUUGAGAAGUUGGUUAUUUCGGGAGUGUUAUUUUGUCAAUUGCAGGGUUGGAUAUGUUUUAUUUAUAAGGGAGACUCUGCCGAAAUUUUUAUAGAUUUGUUAUUAAUUCGAUUUUACGAGUUUAGAUAGACUCGCCCUGGGGGAGGUUGCGGGGCGGGUCGUUUCAGUUGGUAUCAGAGCAUGGUUUUAGAUUCUGUAGACUUUAUGGUCGUAAAUAGAAUAAGUUUUGAUUAUUAAGUCGGAUUUACUAUUUUGUAGGCACCAUCAUGAUUCGUCGUAGCAGUCGACGUGGCCGUGGCCGUGGUCGUGGCCGUGGUCGUGGCCGUACUAGAUUAGUAGCUGGGUUGACUUCAGGAGAUGUACCUGCGGGGGAAAAUAUUCCCGUAGACGAGGGAAUAGUUGAGUCUUCGACGCACGAGGUUGUGCAACAGGCACCAGGAAAUGCUCCGAACAUUGAGCAGUCUAUUGAUAGAUUAGCUCAGAUUGUGACUACAGUGGUUCAGAAUCAGGCUCAGCCGCAUGUCGGUCAAGUGAACACUGUUGAGCGUGUUCGAAGUCUUGGGGCGAAGAGUUUUAAUGGUUCUGGUGAUCCACCUGAGGCAGAGUCGUGGCUUAUCAAGUUAGAACGUAUCUUUGAUGUGAUGAGAUGCUCAGAGGAGGAUAGACUUUCAUUUGCCACUUUUCUGCUCGAGGAUAAAGCUUAUCAUUGGUGGCAAACAGUAGAGCGACGAUACCAAGGCCAUGCUGCGCUUACAUGGACUAUUUUUCGUAAGGAAUUCUACGAUCAUUAUUUUCCGGCUGUGUAUCAGGAUAUUAAGCGGAGUGAAUUCCUUCGAUUGGUUCAAGGAGCUAUGUCAGUGGAAGAGUAUGAGAAGAAAUUUCUGGAUUUGUCUAGAUUUGCCAUUUCAGCAGUUGGUGAUGAGAGGGAGAGAUGUAAGCGUUUUGAGGAGGGUCUCCGAUUUGAGAUUCGUACUACUGUGACGGCAUCACGGUACACUGAGUUUAUUGAGGUAGUUGAGGCAGCUAAGAGAGUGGAGCACAGUAUCUCUGAGGGACGUAGAGUUCAGGCUCUGAAGCAGAAACGUAGCCAGAGUUGGGCAGAAGGUAGCUCGAGCAGCAGACCACCGAAGAGAGGCGCGUAUACAAAUUACUCUGCUGGUGUGCAAAGGAAUCAGAGUAUGAGUAGCAGGGGAGAUCAGAGACAGACCGCCAGUUACAGUUCGGCGCAGCCUUCAGUGGGGAGUAAUGUUAGGACUCAGGGGCAGUAUGACAGGAAUAGCGGAGGACCCAGUAGGAGUAUACAACAGACUCCUUGCCCUACGUGUGGUAGGAACCAUCAGGGCCAAUGCCGUAUCGGAGACAAUGUGUGUUAUUUAUGUGGACAACCUGGACAUAUUAAGAGAUUUUGCCCUACUUUAUCUCAGGGUGACAGUUCUACUUGAGGGGCAGCCCCACAGUAUCAAUCUCAUGUUGGACCAGUUCCGGGUCAGAGGGGUAUGCAGACAGGGGGUUCUAUAUCGAGGAGUCAGACCACUUUUCCAAGUCAGAGAGGUCAACCUGGUCGACCUCGUACUCAGGCUCGAGUUUUUGCCUUGACACAGCAGGAGGCUCAUGCUACACCAGAAGUUAUUAUGGGUACAUUAUCUAUCUUUGGUCAUGAUGCUCAUAUUCUUAUUGAUCCUGGAUCCACGCAUUCUUUUGUUUCUCGCACAUUUAGUAUGCAUCUAGAGAGAGAGCCUGAAUUGCUGGAUUAUGGUUUAGUUGUUAGUACACCUACCGGAGGGUCAUUACUUGCUGAAAAGGUGUAUCAAGAUAGCAUGAUUCGAUUGGGCGAGCAUGAAUUUAAGGCGAAUUUGAUUAUUCUAGACAUUCAAGAUUUUGAUGCCAUUUUGGGCAUGGAUUGGCUUGCGUCUCACCAUGCUACAGUGGAUUGUUUUAAAAAGGAAGUUGUGUUCAACAAACCAAGAGAAACUGAGGUGAAAUUUUGUAGUGAGCGUAGAAUUUUACCCUCAUGUGUCAUAUCGGCCAUUGAUGCAAGACGCUUACUAAGGAAAGGUUGCUCAGCUUAUCUGGCAUACGUAAUAGCCACUGGAGUUCGGGAGUUGAGAUUGGAGGAUAUUCCAGUAGUCCAAGAGUUUUCAGAUGUAUUUCCAGAUGAACUUCCGGGGAUGCCACUUCAUAGAGAGAUUGAGUUUUCUAUUGAUUUAGUCCCUGGGACGGCUCCUAUAUCUAUAGCACCAUAUAGGAUGGCUCCAGCUGAAUUAAAGGAACUUAAGAUUCAACUGCAAGAAUUGGUGGAUAAAGAGUUUAUUAGACCUAGUGUAUCUCCGUGGGGAGCUCCGGUGUUGUUUGUUAAGAAAAAGGAUGGUACUCUUAGACUCUGCAUUGACUAUAGGCAGUUGAAUAAAGUUACAGUGCGUAAUAAAUAUCCACUUCCGCGCAUCGAUGACUUGUUUGAUCAACUUCAGGGAGCAAAGGUGUUUUCUAAGAUCGAUUUGCGCUCGGGAUAUCAUCAGCUUAGAAUUAAAGAGGCCGAUGUUCCUAAAACAGCAUUUAGAACUCGUUAUGGACAUUAUGAGUUUUUAGUGAUGCGAUUUGGGUUGACUAAUGCCCCAGCGGCUUUUAUGGAUCUUAUGAAUAGGGUAUUUCGCCCUUAUCUGGAUCGAUUUGUGAUUGUGUUUAUCGACGACAUUUUGGUGUAUUCUCGGAGUCAGGAGGAACAUGAGGAACACUUGCGGACUAUUUUGCAGACUUUAAGGCAAAAGCAAUUGUACGCUAAGUUCAGCAAGUGUGAGUUCUGGUUGGAUAAAGUAGUAUUUCUAGGCCAUGUGAUAUCAGCUGAAGGAAUUUAUGUUGAUCCUCAAAAGAUCGAAGCAGUUGUAAAUUGGGAACGACCUACAAAUGUGACUGAAGUUCGAAGUUUUCUUGGAUUAGCUGGCUAUUAUCGGAGAUUUGUGGAAGGAUUCUCCAAGAUUGCUAUUCCUCUGACAAGGUUAACCAGAAAGAAUGCUAAGUUCCAGUGGAAUGAUGAUUGUGAAAAGGGUUUUCAAGAACUCAAGGCAUGCCUUACUUCAGCACCAGUUCUUACACUUCCAUCGGGUAAUGAAGGGUUUGUAGUAUACAGUGAUGCAUCCAGGCAAGGAUUGGGUUGUGUGCUAAUGCAGUAUGGGAAAGUAGUGGCUUAUGCUUCAAGACAACUUAAGAAGCAUGAACAAAAUUACCCAACUCAUGAUUUAGAGCUAGCAGCAGUGGUGUUUGCACUCAAGAUAUGGAGGCAUUACUUAUAUGGAGCAACAUGUCAGAUUUUUACUGAUCACAAGAGCUUGAAGUAUUUGUUUACUCAGAAGGAGUUGAAUUUGAGAUAGAGAAGAUGGAUUGAGCUGAUUAAAGACUAUGAUUGUACCAUUGAUUUUCAUCCGGGCAAAGCGAAUGUGGUAGCUGAUGCGCUAAGCAGGAAGUCUUUUAGCUCUAUAGCUCACUUGCGAGGGACAUACAUGCCGUUAUUGAUUGAGUUGAGAUCUUUGGGAGUUGAAUUGGAAGUUGAUAAUUGCAGAGCUUUAAUAGCUAAUUUUCGAGUGAGGCCGACUUUGAUUGAUAAAGUUCAUCAGAUGCAAGAUCAGGAUUUGCAGUUACUGAAGUUGAAAGAGGAUGUGCAAAAAGACUUACGAACUGAUUUUGCGGUGAGAGAUGAUGGCGUUUUAGUUAUGGGUAAUCGACUUUGUGUACCCGACAUUAAAGAGUUGAAAAAGGAGAUCAUGGAAGAAGCUCAUUGUUCAGCUUAUGCUAUGCAUCCUGGUAGUACGAAGAUGUACCGUACCUUGAGAGAUCAUUACUGGUGGCAAGGUAUGAAGAGAGAGAUAGCUGAAUUUGUAUCUCGGUGUUUAGUUUGUCAGCAGAUUAAGGCUGAACAUCAGAGACCUGCAGGGUUUUCUCAGCCGCUUCCUAUCCCUGAGUGGAAAUGGGAGCACAUUACCAUGGAUUUUGUAACGGGACUUCCACGUACUCAGAGUGGUCAUGAUAGUGUUUGGGUAGUUGUUGAUCGACUUACCAAAUCUACUCACUUUUUACCAUUCAAGACCACGUAUUCGAUGGACAAAUUGGGGAAUAUUUUUGUGGCAGAGAUAGUUCGACUUCACGGAGCACCUGUGUCUAUUGUUUCAGAUAGAGAUUCCAGAUUUACUUCUAAGUUCUGGACAAGCUUGCAAAAGGCUAUGGGCACCAAGUUGAAUUUCAGUACAGCUUUUCACCCACAGACUGAUGGUCAGUCAGAGCGUACUAUUCAGACCCUGGAGGAUAUGUUACGAGCUUGUAUUUUGGAGUUUAAGGGUAGUUGGGACAUUUAUUUACCCUUGAUGGAGUUUGCUUACAAUAACAGUUAUCAAGCUAGCAUUGAGAUGGCACCUUAUGAGGCCUUGUAUAGCAGGAAAUGCAGAACUCCCGUAUGUUGGGAUGAGGUUGGAGAGCGGAAACUUUAUGGUCCCGAAUUGGUUCAAAAUACUAGUGAGAAGAUACAGCUUAUUCGGGAAAGAUUAAAGGCAGCCCAGAACAGACAAAAGAGCUAUGCAGAUAAGCGUAGGCGAGAACUUGAGUUUGAAGUGGGUGACAAGGUUUUUAUACGGAUAUCUCCUUGGAAAGGGGUACUUCGUUUUGGGAAGCGUGGGAAGUUGAGUCCACGAUACAUUGGACCUUAUGAAAUUGUGGAGCGUAUUGGUCCGUUGGCAUACCGAUUAGCUCUAACACCUGAGUUAUCUAGAAUCCACAAUGUCUUUCAUGUUUCGAUGCUCCGGAAGUAUGUGUAUGAUCCUAGUCAUGUGUUGUCGAGACAACCAAUUGAGCUGAAAGAAGAUUUGAGUUAUGAAGAAGAGCCCGUGGAAAUUCUAGAACAGAAGCAUCAAGUCUUGCGUUCAAGAACUAUUUCAUUAGUAAAAGUGUUGUGGAGGAAUCACACAAGAGAAGAAGCGACUUGGGAACGCGAAGACUUAAUGCGAGCUCAAUACCCUCACAUGUUCUCAACAAAUGUGUAAAUUUCGGGGACGAAAUUUUUAUAAGGGGGGAGGAUUGUAAUAUACGCACUUGGACUUUCUUAAUAAAGUGCCGAUUUUUAUUUUCCUCUUCUCUAUUAAUUUUUAAUUUCGUCAUUAUAGUUUAAUUGGGAUAAAUUGAGCUCGAUUAUACACGCCGAUGGUCGGAUUUUAUUUUCGUAACGAGUCUGAAAUUCGCUUAAUUUGUAUUAAGCUUAAAAAAAAAAAAGAGGGGCAGAAUUGUAUAACUGGAAAGAGGGAAACGGGUUUUCCAUUUUAGAGAGAAAGAACCCGAGAAGAGAGAGAAAGAUAGAGAGAGAAGUCAGACCCGUUGACCCGAGAACCCGACCCAGUAACCCGCGGAUUGACCCGACGAUUUCUCCCAACUCCAGCCACUUUACCGGCCGUGCUUGGUACCGAUCUGAAGCUUGGAAGCAGACCAUCGUAUCCCUGCUGUUAUCGUCGCCGGAAACUGGCCAGAACGCCGGUGAUCGAGCUCGAAAAGUCGCGGCUUCGACCCGUUUUCGUUGCCGUUGAUCCCGCCGGAGUUGUGACGCGCCACCACUUGGAACUGGUUCCUCACAUCCCCAGCAACAUUUCCCGACCAGCCACGACCGCCGGGGACGCCCGGAACUCGCCGAAUGAUCUCCAAAAAUUUGCGGAACUUUGGAACUUCGAUCCGCCGCCGGUAGCGCGCGUGGCGACUCACUGCCACCACCGUUGGAUUAACCGAGGCCGGAACUAGCAGACCUAAGCUCCCCGUCAUCGUUGACUGAAGUCCGGUCACCGUUGACCGGCAGGGGCAAUUCGGUAAAUUCAUGAAACUUUGGGGUGAAUUUGUAAUUUUAUGUAAUCAGUGGACAUUUCGGUAAUUUUAUGCCCUGAGGGUAAUUUCGUAAUUUCGGACAAUGUGAUUAAUUUAUGUAAUCUGAAUUGAGGACAAUAUGGGUAUUAACGAAUAUGAGGAUAAUUUGGUAAAAUCAUCAAGUUUGAGGAUAAGUUGGUAAAAUAUUGAUGUUGGGGUAUUUUGGCAAUUUUGGCCUAUAGGGGCAUUUUGGUAAUUUUAUACAUGCGGGACUAGUUUAUCGUUAAUAGAUAUUUGUUUCGAGAUUUAUUAUAUUAAUUGGUUUUUACGGAGAAUAAUUAUGGUGUUUUCCGUGAUUAGGAGGAUCCGCAUCCGCGAAGGAGAAUCUACCCGCGGACGUUGUUGAUACUGAGUCUAGACAUCAUCACUGUGAGUGGAAUAUACAAAACCUAUUUUCAUAGUAUAUGCUGAUUUUAUUAUAUAGUACAGUAUGGUUGAGAAAUAAAUAUUUAAUGCGUCGAUUUAAUGAUUUUUCAGCGAAUUGAUUUUUAGUUAUGUGUUGAUAUUUAUUGAUAUUGAGAAUGAGUUCGAUUUACGAUUUUAUUAACGUUUUUGAGUAAAAGCAUGAUAUUAGAAUUGAGCAGACUUGAGAUAUGUUGAAUAGAAAGAAAAUGAGAUUUCAGAUGGGAUCAUAUGUUUAAUAUCAGUUUUGAAAUCAUUAGACAGUACCCUUCCCUCCAGAUACAGAGAUACAGAUAAAAAGAGAUACAGAAAAGAGAUACAGAUAAGAUGAGAUAGAGGCCUUUGGGGCCCGUCGGGACACACAUAAAGGCUUUGGGCCGUGUGUUCGGGCGCUUUUGCCUUUUGGGGGCUUAUGCAUGCACAGUACAGAUAUAUGAGAUAAGAGAUAUGAGAUAUGAGAUGAGAUCGUCCCCAUCUAUCCGUUGUGGCUCCGGGGCGUGACGUUACCCAGAUAGUGCGUUAUUGCCUGGCCGUUGUAGCCCGGAUAUGAUCAGAUUAUCCCCUGGGUACUUGUUUGAUGACAGUUUUUAGUAUUCAGUAUUUAAUAUGAGUAUGGUGAUUCCAUCGAUUUUAUGCAGAUUUAUUAUUGCAGUUAUUCAAUUUGAAUUAAAUGAGUUUAUGAUAUUUUGAGAAAUUGAUUUACGAAAUUGAAAUUGAUUUAAGAAAAGAUUUGAGAAAGAUUAAAUGAUUUUGAAUAAUUUAUUAAAGUAUCAGCACCUACUAUCCACUCACUGAGCUCACUGAGUUUUAUACUCACCCCUUUUUUAUUAUAUUUUUCCCCCCACAGGAGAUUUACAGGUACAUCAGUCAACCCAGUAGUGAACGUUAGUUUGAUAUUGUGGUCACGUGAUGGUGCUAGAAGUCGUGGAUUUUAUUAUUAUAUUCGAAAUUUGUGUUAUUAUUUUAUGUUAUUAAGGAUAAUCGUUGUAUUUUAAUAUUCGGAUGAUUUUGGUGAUAUUUGAGAAGUUGGUUAUGGAGGAUGUUUGGUUAUUAAAUUAUUUCGGGAGUGUUAUUUUGUCAAUUGCAGGGUUGGAUAUGUUUUAUUUAUAAGGGAGACUCUGCCGAAAUUUUUAUAGAUUUGUUAUUAAUUCGAUUUUACGAGUUUAGAUAGACUCGC